This 484-nucleotide ribosomal RNA is filed under the name uncultured bacterium. RNAcentral describes it as "partial 16S ribosomal RNA". It matches the Rfam family "Bacterial small subunit ribosomal RNA", at positions 30 to 507 of the family's 1533-position model. The record is from RNAcentral.
AUUGAACGCUGGCGGCAGGCCUAACACAUGCAAGUCGAGCGGAUGAAGGGAGCUUGCUCCUGGAUUCAGCGGCGGACGGGUGAGUAAUGCCUAGGAAUCUGCCUGGUAGUGGGGGAUAACGUCCGGAAACGGGCGCUAAUACCGCAUCCGUCCUGAGGGAGAAAGUGGGGGAUCUUCGGACCUCACGCUAUCAGAUGAGCCUAGGUCGGAUUAGCUAGUUGGUGGGGUAAAGGCCUACCAAGGCGACGAUCCGUAACUGGUCUGAGAGGAUGAUCAGUCACACUGGAACUGAGACACGGUCCAGACUCCUACGGGAGGCAGCAGUGGGGAAUAUUGGACAAUGGGCGAAAGCCUGAUCCAGCCAUGCCGCGUGUGUGAAGAAGGUCCUCGGAUUGUAAAGCACUUUAAGUUGGGAGGAAGGGCAGUAAGUUAAUACCUUGCUGUUUUGACGGUACCAACAGAAUAAGCACCGGCUAACUUCGUG